AGAGUUUGAUCAUGGCUCAGAAUCAACGCUGGCGGCGUGCCUAACACAUGCAAGUCGAGCGCGAAAGUGGACUUCGGUCCGCGAGUAGAGCGGCGAACGGGUGAGUAACGCGUGGGUGAUCUGCCUUCGAGUGGGGAAUAACACCGGGAAACUGGUGCUAAUACCGCAUGACAUCCUCGGUUCGUUCCGGGGAUCAAAGCUGAGGACCGUAAGGCCUGGCGCUUGAAGAGGAGCCCGCGUCCGAUUAGCUUGUUGGCGGGGUAAUGGCCCACCAAGGCUUCUAUCGGUAGCCGGCCUGAGAGGGCGGACGGCCACACUGGGACUGAGACACGGCCCAGACUCCUACGGGAGGCAGCAGUGGGGAAUUUUCCGCAAUGGGGGAAACCCUGACGGAGCAACGCCGCGUGGAGGAUGAAGGCCCUCGGGUCGUAAACUCCUGUCGAUCGGGAAGAAUGCGUCCGACCCAAUACGUCGGGCGUUGACUGUACCGGUGGAGGAAGCCACGGCUAACUCUGUGCCAGCAGCCGCGGUAAGACAGAGGUGGCAAGCGUUGUUCGGAAUUACUGGGCGUAAAGGGCGCGCAGGCGGUUCGCCAAGUCCCGUGUGAAAUCCCCCGGCUCAACUGGGGAACUGCGCGGGAAACUAGUGGACUUGAGUUCGGGAGAGGAAAGCGGAAUUCCGGGUGUAGCGGUGAAAUGCGCAGAUAUCCGGAGGAACACCAGUGGCGAAGGCGGCUUUCUGGACCGACACUGACGCUGAGGCGCGAAAGCUAGGGGAGCGAACGGGAUUAGAUACCCCGGUAGUCCUA
This 808-nucleotide ribosomal RNA is filed under the name uncultured Acidobacteriota bacterium. RNAcentral describes it as "bacterial SSU rRNA". It matches the Rfam family "Bacterial small subunit ribosomal RNA", at positions 8 to 798 of the family's 1533-position model. Lineage: Bacteria; Pseudomonadati; Acidobacteriota. The record is from RNAcentral.